UGGCCCCUACGGGGCGCAGCAGUGGGGAAUAUUGCACAAUGGGGGGAACCCUGAUGCAGCGACGCCGCGUGAGUGAAGAAGUAUUUCGGUAUGUAAAGCUCUAUCAGCAGGGAAGAAGAUGACGGUACCUGACCAAGAAGCCCCGGCUAACUACGUGCCAGCAGCCGCGGUAAUACGUAGGGGGCAAGCGUUAUCCGGAUUUACUGGGUGUAAAGGGAGCGCAGACGGCAGUGCAAGUCUGGAGUGAAAGCCCGGGGCCCAACCCCGGAACUGCUCUGGAAACUGUGCGGCUAGAGUACUGGAGG
RNAcentral lists this ribosomal RNA (305 nucleotides) under uncultured bacterium. RNAcentral's name for it is "bacterial SSU rRNA". It matches the Rfam family "Bacterial small subunit ribosomal RNA", at positions 333 to 655 of the family's 1533-position model. The record is from RNAcentral.